This 68-nucleotide transfer RNA is filed under the name Marmota monax (woodchuck). RNAcentral describes it as "tRNA.Ala". The stretch from base 5 to 65 matches the Rfam family "tRNA", at positions 6 to 65 of the family's 71-position model. Rfam says of the family: Transfer RNA (tRNA) molecules are approximately 80 nucleotides in length. Their secondary structure includes four short double-helical elements and three loops (D, anti-codon, and T loops). The record is from RNAcentral. Lineage: Eukaryota; Metazoa; Chordata; Mammalia; Rodentia; Sciuridae.
GGAUUGUGGCUCAGUGGUCGAGUGUAUGCCUGGCACACAUGAGGCACUGAGUUCAAACCUCAGCACCA